This 1319-nucleotide ribosomal RNA is filed under the name Leuconostoc citreum. RNAcentral's name for it is "bacterial SSU rRNA". It matches the Rfam family "Bacterial small subunit ribosomal RNA", at positions 119 to 1425 of the family's 1533-position model. Lineage: Bacteria; Bacillati; Bacillota; Bacilli; Lactobacillales; Lactobacillaceae. The record is from RNAcentral.
GGAUAACCUGCCUCAAGGCUGGGGAUAACAUUUGGAAACAGAUGCUAAUACCGAAUAAAACUUAGUAUCGCAUGAUAUCAAGUUAAAAGGCGCUACGGCGUCACCUAGAGAUGGAUCCGCGGUGCAUUAGUUAGUUGGUGGGGUAAAGGCUUACCAAGACGAUGAUGCAUAGCCGAGUUGAGAGACUGAUCGGCCACAUUGGGACUGAGACACGGCCCAAACUCCUACGGGAGGCUGCAGUAGGGAAUCUUCCACAAUGGGCGCAAGCCUGAUGGAGCAACGCCGGCGUGUGUGAUGAAGGCUUUCGGGUCGUAAAGCACUGUUGUAUGGGAAGAAAUGCUAAAAUAGGGAAUGAUUUUAGUUUGACGGUACCAUACCAGAAAGGGACGGCUAAAUACGUGCCAGCAGCCGCGGUAAUACGUAUGUCCCGAGCGUUAUCCGGAUUUAUUGGGCGUAAAGCGAGCGCAGACGGUUGAUUAAGUCUGAUGUGAAAGCCCGGAGCUCAACUCCGGAAUGGCAUUGGAAACUGGUUAACUUGAGUGUUGUAGAGGUAAGUGGAACUCCAUGUGUAGCGGUGGAAUGCGUAGAUAUAUGGAAGAACACCAGUGGCGAAGGCGGCUUACUGGACAACAACUGACGUUGAGGCUCGAAAGUGUGGGUAGCAAACAGGAUUAGAUACCCUGGUAGUCCACACCGUAAACGAUGAAUACUAGGUGUUAGGAGGUUUCCGCCUCUUAGUGCCGAAGCUAACGCAUUAAGUAUUCCGCCUGGGGAGUACGACCGCAAGGUUGAAACUCAAAGGAAUUGACGGGGACCCGCACAAGCGGUGGAGCAUGUGGUUUAAUUCGAAGCAACGCGAAGAACCUUACCAGGUCUUGACAUCCUUUGAAGCUUUUAGAGAUAGAAGUGUUCUCUUCGGAGACAAAGUGACAGGUGGUGCAUGGUCGUCGUCAGCUCGUGUCGUGAGAUGUUGGGUUAAGUCCCGCAACGAGCGCAACCCUUAUUGUUAGUUGCCAGCAUUCAGUUGGGCACUCUAGCGAGACUGCCGGUGACAAACCGGAGGAAGGCGGGGACGACGUCAGAUCAUCAUGCCCCUUAUGACCUGGGCUACACACGUGCUACAAUGGCGUAUACAACGAGUUGCCAACCUGCGAAGGUGAGCUAAUCUCUUAAAGUACGUCUCAGUUCGGACUGCAGUCUGCAACUCGACUGCACGAAGUCGGAAUCGCUAGUAAUCGCGGAUCAGCACGCCGCGGUGAAUACGUUCCCGGGUCUUGUACACACCGCCCGUCACACCAUGGGAGUUUGUAAUGCCCAAA